CGGGAGGCAGCAGUGGGGAAUUUUGGACAAUGGGGGAAACCCUGAUCCAGCCAUCCCGCGUGAGUGAAGAAGGCCUUCGGGUUGUAAAGCUCUUUCGAAAGUGAAGAAAACUUAUUUCGUAAUAUGUUAUAAGUAUGACGGUAACUUUAGAAGAAGCACCGGCUAACUACGUGCCAGCAGCCGCGGUAAUACGAAGGGUGCUAGCGUUGUUCGGAAUUACUGGGCGUAAAGGGCGUGUAGGCGGAUGAUCAAGCUAGAGGUGAAAGCCCAGGGCCCAACCCUGGAACUGCCUUUAGAACUGAUUGUCUAGAAUCCGUAAGGGGAGUGUGGAAUUCCUAGUGUAGAGGUGAAAUUCGUAGAUAUUAGGAAGAACACCAGUGGCGAAGGCGGCACUCUGGUACGGUAUUGACGCUGAGGCGCGAAAGCGUGGGGAGCAAACAGGAUUAGAUACCCUGGUAGUCCACGCCGUAAACGAUGUCUGCUAGCCGUUUGGACACUUAGUGUCUGGGUGGCGCCGCUAACGCAUUAAGCAGACCGCCUGGGGAGUACGGUCGCAAGAUUAAAACUCAAAGGAAUUG
RNAcentral lists this ribosomal RNA (578 nucleotides) under uncultured bacterium. Its description in RNAcentral is "bacterial SSU rRNA". It matches the Rfam family "Bacterial small subunit ribosomal RNA", at positions 342 to 912 of the family's 1533-position model. The record is from RNAcentral.